Molecule: transfer RNA, 71 nt
Filed under: Loxodonta africana (African savanna elephant)
Lineage: Eukaryota; Metazoa; Chordata; Mammalia; Proboscidea; Elephantidae
Rfam family: tRNA
About the family: Transfer RNA (tRNA) molecules are approximately 80 nucleotides in length. Their secondary structure includes four short double-helical elements and three loops (D, anti-codon, and T loops).
Source: Rfam by way of RNAcentral
GCAGUGGUAGUUCAGUGGUAGAAUUCUCACCUUCCAUGCGGAAGGCCCAGGUUUGAUUCCCAGCCAAUGCA